Polypterus senegalus (gray bichir) is the source of this 171-nucleotide long non-coding RNA. RefSeq lists it as uncharacterized. The record is from RefSeq and is a predicted model, not a curated record. The transcript is spliced from 2 exons. NCBI's taxonomy places the organism in Eukaryota, Metazoa, Chordata, Cladistia, Polypteriformes, Polypteridae.
AAUCAAUUGAGCUAAGCAUUCCUAUGACAUGCUGUGGUCAUAUUGUCUUCAUUGAUCCAAAACAUCCUAACUGCUUGUGACUGGCUGGAUGCCAACAAAGACCAACUUGUUGGGACAGUCCUCCGGCCAAGAAUUCUGGAAAUGGACGAGGAUGAAGUUACAUACACAAUU